RNAcentral lists this long non-coding RNA (1790 nucleotides) under Mizuhopecten yessoensis (Yesso scallop). Its description in RNAcentral is "uncharacterized LOC110465995". The record is from RNAcentral. Lineage: Eukaryota; Metazoa; Mollusca; Bivalvia; Pectinida; Pectinidae.
UAUCAAUCUAAGGGGAAACACAGGUAGUGACAGUGCACGUGUGCCUCAACACAAACCCUCUAUCAUCUGAGAACCUGUUCGUUAGUAUCCCCUCCUUAUAAUACUGGAGAUACCAGUGCCCACUAUACACGUUUUAACUACCGGUAAUGAUGAUGGUAAUAAGAAUUCUAGAUACUCUGUUUUUAAUAAUUAAGAAGUCAAUAGAACCAAGCAGUGAAAUCUUAUAUUCAUCAAACACCUUUAUAGCCAAAUCUUUUCUGGUUUAAAUUUUCAAAAUACCAAACAAAUGUAGCUUUCGUGUACUAUACAAGUCUCCCUCCUGGUUUAUAUAACAUCAAGUUCCUUUAUCUAGAUAACGAUAAGGUUUGGCCAUAGAGCCUAACCUGUAUCUUACAGGCUAGAUCUAAUAGAUUCACCCCCUGGAUAAUGAUCUGUAUAAAACUCUUCAAUGAUGAAAGGAUAACAGAUAUAUCCAGAUCAGUUACAUAGAUUCCCAAUUUAUUGCUCUGUAACGUUUUAGCAGCAGGUAUCUAUAUAAGCCCUUUUAUGUCGAGGAAAUUUCUAUCAAGACAGUUUUUUUGGUUCUGGCUGUACGAUUAUCAAGUAAUAACAUUUCUCAGUGUACUGCCAGAAUUGCUGUAUUAUAAAGGAGACGGAUCUGAUUCAAUUAGAACCAGAUCUAUAAAUAGAACACUGCAUAACUGUUAACAGUGUACAUCUGUGUUGAAUGGUAAAUUAUACAAUGACAUGAAAUUGACAUAUAGUCGUGGAAUUUAAAUUGCUAAUAACGAUAAAGUGUCUGUGAUGUUGUCUAUAACACUUUCAGAUUUGACUCAAGUUUUAUCCAUAUUUAGGCUGAUGGUAAUUUGAAACCACCAUCAAAUUGUCUCCCCUUAACACCUACACUUUGGCCUGCUAUGGUUGUCUACCCUUUUAUUUGCUUACUAGAUCGCUUUAUGAUGAACAUUAAUCUGUUUUGUUAUACAACAUGUUUGUGUAUUUUGUAUGACUUCUUCAAUAGUUAAAUUUCAUCAUUAAUUGCCAAGAUGAUUUAUCCAAAUAUUUUUUUUAGGUGUGGCGAAUGAACUCUGCCAAAACCCUGUUGGCCUCCCCAAGUUUGACAUCCUCCCUGUACUUGUGUAUGUAGCCUGUCAGACUAACAGCAUGACUCCAGACAAUGGUAGGUAGAGGUUCAGUACUAGGAGUACCUAAAGUACUCGGUACUUGUAGCGACCGACAUUUACAGACUAACUUCCUUCCCCUUCGUGUUUGAGCAACAACAGCAGCCAGCAGGAGAAGACAGACAUGGGCGGAGAUUGCGGUGAAGUUGGAGAGAGACAGAUAAAAGAUGUGGACUUAUAUGUUACCUGUGUGGCCAUUGGAUCAGUUGAAUACGAAGACGAAGACAAUGAACAGGUUACGGUAGAUUUACAGAAUACAGUCAUCAGUGCAAUGGUCAAGAAGCAUGGGUGAUAACUAUUGCACUCUACAUGUCCACCACCUCCAGACACUCCAGUGUCAUCACGAGAUACAAACAAUGACCAGUAUGUCAUGAUGGGUAAAAACCACUUAGGAAAUUAAGGACCUUGAGAGGCAAAAGGUAACCAAAACAUGUUCAGAAGCUGAGAACAUAUACCUGUGUACAGUAUAAAUGAGAAGGUGACACAUUAGACUUCAUCAGAGGGUGACUGGAUUAUUGACUGUCUAUUUAUAGAAGUCCUCGUAGAUAACAUAAGGGAUUCAUCAAGAUCAAUUCUACACUUUGAAUAAAGUUUCAUUAAAUCACUUAA